This 280-nucleotide unclassified non-coding RNA is filed under the name Hevea brasiliensis (rubber tree). The record is from RNAcentral. Lineage: Eukaryota; Viridiplantae; Streptophyta; Magnoliopsida; Malpighiales; Euphorbiaceae.
AUUAUUAAAGAGAUCAUUAAAAUAUUUUCUUGAAAUAAUUUUUGUUGAAGGUUCUUCUAUUUUGGAUACCAACAUUUUCUAGAUUUCAUGUGGGAAAUUCACAUCAAUGCACUAAUCAAGCCAAAGAUGCUGACCUACAUGGCAACCAUGACACUGAAGAUGAGAUACAUAAAUUCAGGAAAAGAUGAGUGUAAACAUCAAAAUCCAGAAAAAAAUAUCUUCAAAAAGUUUCAAGUCUUAAAUAUUAUAUUGGGCAUCCUUCUAAGUUAUAAAUAAAUAA